This 497-nucleotide ribosomal RNA is filed under the name uncultured bacterium. RNAcentral describes it as "partial 16S ribosomal RNA". It matches the Rfam family "Bacterial small subunit ribosomal RNA", at positions 28 to 507 of the family's 1533-position model. The record is from RNAcentral.
GAUGAACGCUGGCGGCGUGCCUAAUACAUGCAAGUCGAGCGAACGGACGAGAAGCUUGCUUCUCUGAUGUUAGCGGCGGACGGGUGAGUAACACGUGGAUAACCUACCUAUAAGACUGGGAUAACUUCGGGAAACCGGAGCUAAUACCGGAUAAUAUUUUGAACCGCAUGGUUCAAAAGUUAAAGACGGUCUUGCUGUCACUUAUAGAUGUAUCCGCGCUGCAUUAGCUAGUUGGUAAGGUAACGGCUUACCAAGGCAACGAUGCAUAGCCGACCUGAGAGGGUGAUCGGCCACACUGGAACUGAGACACGGUCCAGACUCCUACGGGAGGCAGCAGUAGGGAAUCUUCCGCAAUGGGCGAAAGCCUGACGGAGCAAAGCCGCGUGAGUGAUGAAGGUCUUCGGAUCGUAAAACUCUGUUAUUAGGGAAGAACAUAUGUGUAAGUAACUGUGCACAUCUUGACGGUACCUAAUCAGAAAGCCACGGCUAACUACGUG